GCACGCAGCCCCGCCUCCCAUGGGGACCUGGCCUGAGGAGCAGGGGCGGGAACUUAGAGACUAAGGCAGCGCGAAAGCAUCUGGUGUGUUCUAGCUUCCCUGAACAUGGUAAGCAAAAGCUGCCUCCCCACAGCACCUCUGGGACCCUCUGACAAGCCAGGUGCAUGCCUGGCCCAAGACAAGAUGCCUGGGCUUCCCUGCAGGUACCUGACCUGGGAGGGACAUGGCUACUGGGCAGUACAAGAUGCGGGCUCUCCUCCUUCUGGUCUCUGGGGACACGGGUUCGAGCCCUGGUCUGGGAAGAUCCCAUAUGCCGCGGAGCAGCUGGGCCCGUG
This is a long non-coding RNA of Balaenoptera musculus (blue whale), 335 nucleotides long. RefSeq lists it as uncharacterized. Lineage: Eukaryota; Metazoa; Chordata; Mammalia; Artiodactyla; Balaenopteridae. The transcript has 3 exons. The record is from RefSeq and is a predicted model, not a curated record.